Molecule: long non-coding RNA, 958 nt
Filed under: Marmota monax (woodchuck)
Lineage: Eukaryota; Metazoa; Chordata; Mammalia; Rodentia; Sciuridae
Source: RNAcentral
GAUAUGCAUUUCUCUAGGGAGAAGACUAAAUUCAGAGACAUUAGAGAAGACAUAAAUAAAUGGAGAAAUACACCAUGUUCAGAUUCAUUGUCUCCUCAUGCCAGUACAUACAAUAACCUAACUUAUGUGGAAACCAAGUCCUGGUGCCUCAGAAAGCUUCCUGCCUCCAGCUCCUCCAUGAGAGGGUCAGUUAGCUAUAAACACAUAUGUAUACAGAAAUAGCUCCUAAUGGUCUCAGCACAGUUGUUUCCACUCCUGGACCCACACUCAGGGGUGUGCCUUUCUCUCAAGUUUUGGAGGAUUAAAUAAAUCAGACAUGGAAAGGUCUUGGCCCAGGGCCUACUGCCUAAUAUGCGCUUCAUAAAUGUUAGCUAUUACUAACAACUAUUGAUUAGCUGUUGGUAACAACUAUACCAGUAGAAGAUAAUCCUGCAUUUUGUAUAACCAGAGUGUUCCCCAGAUGAGGGCAGGGGAGGCACAACACCAGACUCACUGCGGCCUCCUUUGACUAAGUCUUUUGUGUGAUUCUUGAGGUAAUAUCCUGCCCCUGGAGAACUGAUGCAGAGAAAGAUGCCCAGGAGCUGUUUUUUGUUUUGUUUUGUUUUGUUUUUAGAGUGUGAUUCAUAAGAGGAGCCACAUUGUUUAAAACAUCUCCUUUGCUCAUUUGUUCAUUCUGUUCUUUAAAUUCAGAAUGUCCUUACUGGAGAGUCAGCCAUGCAUCAAGAUCUGUGUUAAUCACCGAGAAUGGAGAGAAAUGCACCAUGAGAGCAUUGCAAAAGGAACUCUGAUAAUUAUCUUCGGCUUCACAGCUCUAGGGGUCCAGGACUGUUCAUUUGGAGGAAGAGGGAACAGGAUCUCAGUUAAGAUGGAAAAAGUAUGAGCUUUGGCAUUAAUGGGAUCAGGAUUUCAACUUACUUCCUUUGUGAACUUGAAUAAAGCCUUCACUUCUCUAAACCUU